RNAcentral lists this transfer-messenger RNA (380 nucleotides) under Mycoplasmopsis alligatoris A21JP2. It matches the Rfam family "transfer-messenger RNA". Rfam says of the family: Bacterial tmRNA, also known as 10Sa RNA or SsrA, is named for its dual tRNA and mRNA-like properties. Its role is to liberate the mRNA from a stalled ribosome. The record is from RNAcentral. Lineage: Bacteria; Bacillati; Mycoplasmatota; Mycoplasmoidales; Metamycoplasmataceae.
GGGGUUGUAAUGGCUUCGACAUGCACAGGAUAAUAUCUAUAGCAGUAGUGUUGCAGACUAUAAUUGCUUCUAGGUUUAACAAACGGAAAAUCUGAAAAACAAGAAAGUGAAUUUUCAUUUUCACACCCAGCUUUUGCUGGACAAUCAAACCUUGUAUUUGCUUAAUUAAAUACUAGUCGCACUCUUAAACGCCUUUAUAAGAUGUGUGGGUUAAAGGCACUUAUUUAGGGAUUCUAAUUAACUAAAAUAAGUCAUAUUUAGAGCAUGUAUUUAUUUUUUGAUUGUUUAUAUAAAUCCAUGAAAUUAAAAAUAAUCUAAACUGUAGAAUUAGGUAGGACUUUUGUGUGUGGACCCGGGUUCGACUCCCGGCAGCUCCACCA